UACGUAGGGGGCGAGCGUUGUCCGGAGUUACUGGGCGUAAAGGGCGCGCAGGCGGUCUGGUAAGUUUGGAGUGACAGUGCUCGGCUUAACUGAGCAAGGCCUUCGAAAACUGUCAGACUUGAGCACUCAAGAGGGACAUAGAAUUCCGGGUGGAGUGGUGAAAUGCGUAGAUAUCCGGAGGAAUACCAAAGGCGAAGGCAGUGUCCUGGGGAGUGUCUGACGCUCAGGCGCGAAAGCUAGGGGAGCGAGCAGG
Molecule: ribosomal RNA, 253 nt
Filed under: uncultured bacterium
Lineage: Bacteria
Description: partial 16S ribosomal RNA
Rfam family: Bacterial small subunit ribosomal RNA
Source: RNAcentral